AGUUGGAGAGGACAGGAGAGGAGGGCGUGGCUUCUGGCGUUUGGCGGGUCUUUGUCUCUCGCUGGCGCUGGCACAGGAACUUGGGAUCCGUCUCCUCUUUCGCCUCCUCCGCUUUGGGAGCCCCGGGCUACUCUUUCACAGCCCCUGUUGCCCUGUGAUCUGUAGGUCCUUGGGGACGCACAGUUAAGAUGACAGGACAUCCUGGAAGCUGGGAAAUGAUAUGUAUUCAUUUCCUACCACCGUAGUGGAAGAGAUACUAUCCCUAUCUUUACAACUGAUAGCAUUUCCAACAGUAAGCUGUGAGAUUCUGCUUGAAAUCACCUCUCAAACAAAUAAAAAACAGACCUGGGAGACAUGCUACGCUCAUUCUGCUGAAGAAAUAGGCAUCAUAGCUGGGAAACGGAUUCACAAGACCCAGGCUGUUCCCUACAUAUGUUUCCUCCUCCGACAUCAGUUCAUCAGUCAAUCAAGCCAUGUGAGAGUGGAGGCCUUGUAUUCCCUAUUAUUCUUGGGCACUCUACUCCAAGUAGGAAAAGGCCAGGAGGUCCUGUUAAAGGAUGCACUCAGAGCCCGGGCUCCCUAACAUAUGAGAGUGCUAACCAGCAGGUGUAGACUUUUCAGGAGUGAAGAAUGAGGCAGGCAUUCCAAACCUGGACCUUCAUCACCUUUUGUUUCAUCUCAAGACAAUUCUGAGGGACUGUUUUGGAGCGUGUCUGGAAGGUGAACCUUGAAGAAGAGUGUGGGUUUUGAUGUGACUCAGUUGAGAUCUUUCAUGGGGAGGCAGGAAUUCAAUGCCCAGAAUCUGGGCUGGUGUCUUUGAGGUCAGUAGGUUGCGUCUUUGUAUCCAAGUCCAUUGUUACUAGGUUGGAGGCUGGAGAUUCUAAAUGGCUUCCAGACCAUCUCUCUGAUUCUCUUUGGGAGAUGGGGUCUGAAAGACAAUGUCAGUAGUUUUGGGAAAUUCUAGAAAGUGUGCUUGGAAACGUGGGAAGAGCUCUUGCCUAGUGCCUAAAUGCUCCAUUUGCAGCUCUAGCCAAGUAGAUACUUGGUAGGUAUAGAGCCGGGUUUGCGUUUAUAUUAGCAAAACCUAUGUCAGAGUUGAAGAAGUAGUCAGGAAAAAGCGUCUUGGUCGCAGGCCGGGGAACAUCUUAAAAGCAAACUUCUAGCCUGCUGACUCUUGGCAAUGAGUGUUGGAUCCUGGCUAAAGUGCCUUGAAUGCAGCAUGAGGCCAAUCCAUGAAUCCAACUUCUCAUGGAGAAAUGUUAAUAUUUUUUCAGUUUGAAUCAAUCAGGGUGAAACUACCAUGCUAUUGGUUUGCUUACUUUUUAUUAUUUCAUGUAAAAUCUAAGACAAAAUACAUUAAAUGCUUAUUGACAUAUGUAUUUAUUCUUCACCAGGCUGAUAAUAUCUGCCUAAUUUUAAACUUUCUUCCAUUUUGUAGGUUUCAACUUAUUCUAUUGUAAGAUACUGUUAAAUCUAAUAGAGGCAUUGUCACUUUUACGUAUAAUUUUAUUUUAUUUCAUAUAUUUCCUAUUGGUUUUUUACAUUUAAAUUAUGGAGCACUUCAUCAUAUAAAAAACUUCAAUUAUAUUUAAACAGUAAGUCUUUGGAUUUUUUUGCCUUUUAAUUUCCAUAUUACAUAAUAAUGAGAUAAACAUUAAUGUUUUCAGGGUACUUUAAAUUUUAGAUAAUUACUCAUUGUAUUCAUGUGAAAUUUGUUUUUACUGCAUGUGUGGGUUGGAGGACGGUUUUCACUUCUGAUUCAUCUUUACUCUUAUCUCAUCAGAGCUCAUACCUCUUGUAGUUGGGGGAUUGCAGUUUAUAAUUCCAAUAAAUGGGGCAAAUUCAAUAAUAACAUAAUACAAAUGAGUUUGAAUGCAGGACAGGUCUUCAAAGCAUACACAACAUGGGCCUACAUAUGUACAACAAUAAUAAUUUAUAAGUUACUGUUUGGAUGGAAAGUAAAAGUACAGAAAAUUUGUUAAAGGAAAUUAAAAUGGAGAUCAUGUCUCAAUAAUCUCUGAGCAGACAAAAUUAGUUAGGUCUCAUAAGUGAUCUCAACCUCGCUUGAUUUGCAAAUACAAACAAAACUUACAUUAUUUCUUGUAGCUGCAUAUUGAAAAAAGAGAAAUGAAGCUCAACCAGUCAGAAGUAGCCAACAACCUUAUAUAAAUAGAAACUGUCCAACAAGGUAAACAGACAAACAAAAAACAAUAAAAAAAGUUGUGCUACCACCAAAUGAUUUCUUUGUUUCUACAUUUUUCAAAUAAAUACUUGCUUCUUACACUGUCAAUGAAGCACUCAAUAUCUUUCCGUCUGAUAUUUUAUAAUUUAUCAAUUGCUCUUACUCAAAUAAACACUUUGCAAUUUCA
Molecule: long non-coding RNA, 2369 nt
Filed under: Homo sapiens (human)
Lineage: Eukaryota; Metazoa; Chordata; Mammalia; Primates; Hominidae
Description: uncharacterized LOC389831, transcript variant 3 (LOC389831)
Source: RNAcentral